AUCGAUUGGGAAAUCGAUUUCAUAACAAGGGUGUAAGGAUAAGUAUAUGUUUGUGAUUGUAUAAUCGACUGGGAAAUCGACUGACUAAAUUAGAAUUGAAAAUUGAACAAGUCAGUGGCAACCUGUUUUACAGGUUAAUCGAUUGACAAAUCGAUUGUACAUAUCACAAAAUGAAAACUGAUUGAAACUAAUCGACUGGCAAAUCGAUU
RNAcentral lists this long non-coding RNA (209 nucleotides) under Cicer arietinum (chickpea). RNAcentral describes it as "long non-coding RNA (CARI_LNC003098)". The record is from RNAcentral. Lineage: Eukaryota; Viridiplantae; Streptophyta; Magnoliopsida; Fabales; Fabaceae.